Molecule: small RNA, 971 nt
Filed under: Histoplasma ohiense
Lineage: Eukaryota; Fungi; Ascomycota; Eurotiomycetes; Onygenales; Ajellomycetaceae
Description: hypothetical lncRNA
Source: RNAcentral
AUCUAUUGCUGCAAGCUAUCCCUCGCUGCUAAACUAUCCCUCACUACUAAGCUAUCUAUCGCUGCUAAUCUAUCUAUUGCUGCAAGCUAUCCCUCGCUGCUAAGCUAUCCCUCGCUGCUAAGCUAUCCCUCGCUGCUAAGCUAUCGCCGCUGCCAACCUAUCUAUCGCUGCCAAUUUAUCUACCACUGCCAAUCUAUCUACUGCUGCUAAUCUAUCGCCGCUGCUAAGCUAUCCCUCGCUGCUAAGCUAUCCCUCGCUGCUAAGCUCGCUGCUAAGCUAUCCCUCGCUGCUAAGCUCGCUGCUAAGCUAUCCCUCGCUGCUAAGCUCUCGCCGCUGCCAACCUAUCUAUCGCUGCCAAUUUAUCUACCACUGCCAAUCUAUCUAUCGCUGCUAAUCUAUCUAUUGCUGCUAAUCUAUCGCUGCUAAUCUAUCGCUGCCAACCUAUCUACCGCGGCGAAUCUAUCCAUCGCUGCCAAUUUAUCUACCACUGUCAAUCUAUCUAUCGCUGCUAAUCUAUCGCUGCUAAUCUAUUGCUGCUGCCAAUCUAUCUAUCACUGCUAAUCUAUUGCUGCUAAUCUAUCACUGCUAAUCUAUCGCUGCUAAUCUAUCGCUGCCAACCUAUCUACCGCGGCGAAUCUAUCUAUUGCUGCCAAUCAACCUAUCUACCACUGCCAACCUAUCUAUCGCUGCCAAUCUAUCUACUGCAGUGAAUCUAUCUAUCACUAUCAUUACUAGUUCAAAAUAGAACUAGAGCAUAAAUACACUAAACUUCUUUUGAUAGAUAAUGAUUUUUGGUAACACUUAUAGCAUUAUAUCAUCUAUAUAGGGUAAAUCAUGGUCCCAUUUGGUCCCAUUUUGCAAAAUGGGAUCAAAUGGAAUCAGAAUCAGUAAUUUAUAAGAAGAACAUGACCUGAGACUAGAUUUAUAAUAUAAACAGUGUAAAGUGACUAAUUUAAUAAACACUAUAUGAG